GCUCAGGAUGAACGCUGGCGGCGUGCCUAAUACAUGCAAGUCGAGCGAACAGAUGAGAAGCUUGUUUCUGAGAUGUGAGCGGCGGACGUGUGUGUCACACGUGUAUCACCUACGUAUGAGACUGGGAUAUCUUCGGGACACCGGAUAUAAUACCGGAUAAUAUUGAGAACCACAGGUUUCACAAGUGAAAGACGGUCGGGUUGUCAUUUAUAGAGGGAUCCGGGCUCCUUAAGUUAGUUGGUAAGGUAUGGCUUUACCAAGGCAAGGAGGCAUAGCGGCCUGGAGAGGGUGUUGGCCCCCACGGGAAUUGAGCCCCGGCCCAGAUUCUUCCGGGAGCCACCAGUAGGGAUUUUUCCCCAAUGGGGGAAAUCCGGAGGGAGCAACGCCGCUGGAGUGAUGAAGGUUUUGGAUUGGUAAAAUUCGGUUAUUAGGGAAGACCAUAUGUGUAAGAAUAGGUGCGCAUCUUGACGGUACCUAAUCAGAAAGCCACGGCUAACUACGUGCCAGCAGCCGCGGUAAUACGUAGGUGGCAAGCGUUAUCCGGAAUUAUUGGGCGUAAAGGGCGCGCAGGCGGUUUUUUAAGUCUGAUGUGAAAGCCCCCGGCUCAACCGGGGAGGGUCAUUGGAAACUGGGAAACUUGAGUGCAGAAGAGGAAAGUGGAAUUCCACGUGUAGCGGUGAAAUGCGCAGAGAUAUGGAGGAACACCAGUGGCGAAGGCGACUCUCUGGUCUGUAACUGACGCUAAGAG
This 748-nucleotide ribosomal RNA is filed under the name Staphylococcus aureus. RNAcentral describes it as "bacterial SSU rRNA". It matches the Rfam family "Bacterial small subunit ribosomal RNA", at positions 22 to 751 of the family's 1533-position model. The record is from RNAcentral. Lineage: Bacteria; Bacillati; Bacillota; Bacilli; Caryophanales; Staphylococcaceae.